AAAUUGAAGAGUUUGAUCAUGGCUCAGAUUGAACGCUGGCGGCAGGCCUAACACAUGCAAGUCGAACGGUAACAGGAAGCAGCUUGCUGCUUUGCUGACGAGUGGCGGACGGGUGAGUAAUGUCUGGGAAACUGCCUGAUGGAGGGGGAUAACUACUGGAAACGGUAGCUAAUACCGCAUAACGUCGCAAGACCAAAGAGGGGGACCUUCGGGCCUCUUGCCAUCGGAUGUGCCCAGAUGGGAUUAGCUAGUAGGUGGGGUAACGGCUCACCUAGGCGACGAUCCCUAGCUGGUCUGAGAGGAUGACCAGCCACACUGGAACUGAGACACGGUCCAGACUCCUACGGGAGGCAGCAGUGGGGAAUAUUGCACAAUGGGCGCAAGCCUGAUGCAGCCAUGCCGCGUGUAUGAAGAAGGCCUUCGGGUUGUAAAGUACUUUCAGCGGGGAGGAAGGCGAUAAGGUUAAUAACCUUGUUGAUUGACGUUACCCGCAGAAGAAGCACCGGCUAACUCCGUGCCAGCAGCCGCGGUAAUACGGAGGGUGCAAGCGUUAAUCGGAAUUACUGGGCGUAAAGCGCACGCAGGCGGUCUGUCAAGUCGGAUGUGAAAUCCCCGGGCUCAACCUGGGAACUGCAUUCGAAACUGGCAGGCUAGAGUCUUGUAGAGGGGGGUAGAAUUCCAGGUGUAGCGGUGAAAUGCGUAGAGAUCUGGAGGAAUACCGGUGGCGAAGGCGGCCCCCUGGACAAAGACUGACGCUCAGGUGCGAAAGCGUGGGGAGCAAACAGGAUUAGAUACCCUGGUAGUCCACGCCGUAAACGAUGUCGACUUGGAGGUUGUGCCCUUGAGGCGUGGCUUCCGGAGCUAACGCGUUAAGUCGACCGCCUGGGGAGUACGGCCGCAAGGUUAAAACUCAAAUGAAUUGACGGGGGCCCGCACAAGCGGUGGAGCAUGUGGUUUAAUUCGAUGCAACGCGAAGAACCUUACCUACUCUUGACAUCCAGAGAACUUUCCAGAGAUGGAUUGGUGCCUUCGGGAACUCUGAGACAGGUGCUGCAUGGCUGUCGUCAGCUCGUGUUGUGAAAUGUUGGGUUAAGUCCCGCAACGAGCGCAACCCUUAUCCUUUGUUGCCAGCGGUCCGGCCGGGAACUCAAAGGAGACUGCCAGUGAUAAACUGGAGGAAGGUGGGGAUGACGUCAAGUCAUCAUGGCCCUUACGAGUAGGGCUACACACGUGCUACAAUGGCGCAUACAAAGAGAAGCGACCUCGCGAGAGCAAGCGGACCUCAUAAAGUGCGUCGUAGUCCGGAUUGGAGUCUGCAACUCGACUCCAUGAAGUCGGAAUCGCUAGUAAUCGUGGAUCAGAAUGCCACGGUGAAUACGUUCCCGGGCCUUGUACACACCGCCCGUCACACCAUGGGAGUGGGUUGCAAAAGAAGUAGGUAGCUUAACCUUCGGGAGGGCGCUUACCACUUUGUGAUUCAUGACUGGGGUGAAGUCGUAACAAGGUAACCGUAGGGGAACCUGCGGUUGGAUCACCUCCUUA
RNAcentral lists this ribosomal RNA (1542 nucleotides) under Enterobacter hormaechei. RNAcentral describes it as "bacterial SSU rRNA". It matches the Rfam family "Bacterial small subunit ribosomal RNA". Lineage: Bacteria; Pseudomonadati; Pseudomonadota; Gammaproteobacteria; Enterobacterales; Enterobacteriaceae. The record is from RNAcentral. RNAcentral also lists the same sequence under 3 other names.